Podarcis lilfordi (Lilford's wall lizard) is the source of this 394-nucleotide non-coding RNA. The record is from the annotation of a GenBank genome assembly. Lineage: Eukaryota; Metazoa; Chordata; Lepidosauria; Squamata; Lacertidae.
GCUGAUCCUGGCUAGGUUUGUCAAUCUUUCUUGAGUCAUGUUGUUUAGUCGUGUCCGACUCUUCGGGACCCCAUGGACAGGCCCUCCUGUCUUCCACUGCCUCCCGCAGUUUGGUCAAACUCAUUCUGGUAGCUUCGAGAACACUGUCCAACCAUCUCGUCCUCUGUCGUCCCCUUCUCCUUGUGCCCUCCAUCUUUCCCAACAUCAGGGUCUUUUCCAGGGAGUCUUCUCUUCUCAUGAGGUGGCCAAAGUCUUGGAGCCUCAGCUUCAUGAUCUGUUCGUCCCGUGAGCACUCAGGGCUGAUUUCCUUCAGAAUGGAGAGGUUUGAUCUUCUUGCAGUCCAUGGGACUCUCAAGAGUCUCCUCCAGCACCAGAAUUCAAAAGCAUCCAUUCU